AUACGGAGGGGGCUAGCGUUGUUCGGAAUUACUGGGCGUAAAGCGCGCGUAGGCGGUUUGCCAAGUCAGGCGUGAAAGCCCCGGGCUCAACCUGGGAACUGCGCUUGAAACUGUCGGUCUAGAGUUCGGGAGAGGGUAGUGGAAUUCCCAGUGUAGAGGUGAAAUUCGUAGAUAUUGGGAAGAACACCGGUGGCGAAGGCGGCUACCUGGACCGGACCUGACGCUGAGGUGCGAAAGCGUGGGGAGCAAACAGGAUUAGAUACCCCGGUAGUCC
RNAcentral lists this ribosomal RNA (274 nucleotides) under uncultured bacterium. RNAcentral describes it as "partial 16S ribosomal RNA". It matches the Rfam family "Bacterial small subunit ribosomal RNA", at positions 523 to 796 of the family's 1533-position model. The record is from RNAcentral.